Non-coding RNA from Paralichthys olivaceus (Japanese flounder), 170 nucleotides. The record is from RefSeq and is a predicted model, not a curated record. NCBI's taxonomy places the organism in Eukaryota, Metazoa, Chordata, Actinopteri, Pleuronectiformes, Paralichthyidae.
AAAACAACCUGUGCACCUCUCACAGGAGCAGCCAGAUGUACCAAGACUGUGGCUCAGGAGUCGGCUCAUCUCGAGGUCCAGCGUUCGACGCCACUUUCUCCAAGAUGCACCUGUGAACCGAGGCGGAAAGAUGCCACGCACCAAGCAGAACAACCCGAAGAAUUUAAAAG